UGAGGAAUAUUGCGCAAUGGGGGCAACCCUGACGCAGCGACGCCGCGUGAGUGAGGAAGGCCUUCGGGUCGUAAAGCUCUGUCAAAGGGAAAGAAGUGCAUGGUGGCUAAUACCUGCCAUGUUUGACGGUACCCUUAAAGGAAGCACCGGCUAACUCCGUGCCAGCAGCCGCGGUAAUACGGAGGGUGAAAGCGUUGUUCGGAAUCACUGGGCGUAAAGGGCGCGUAGGCGGUUUGAUAAGUCAGAUGUGAAAGCCCACGGCUUAACUGUGGAAGUUCAUUUGAAACUGUUAGACUUGAGUAGCGGAGGGGAAAGUGGAAUUCCCGGUGUAGAGGUGAAAUUCGUAGAUAUCGGGAGGAAUACCGGUGGCGAAGGCGACUUUCUGGCUGAAUACUGACGCUGAGGCGCGAAAGCGUGGGGAGCAAACA
This 428-nucleotide ribosomal RNA is filed under the name uncultured prokaryote. RNAcentral describes it as "bacterial SSU rRNA". It matches the Rfam family "Bacterial small subunit ribosomal RNA", at positions 355 to 774 of the family's 1533-position model. The record is from RNAcentral.